Molecule: long non-coding RNA, 5373 nt
Organism: Trichosurus vulpecula (common brushtail)
Lineage: Eukaryota; Metazoa; Chordata; Mammalia; Diprotodontia; Phalangeridae
Exons: 3
Source: RefSeq, a predicted model, not a curated record
AGUCCCAGGGCUCAGGGCCCCCUGGCAACACUCUACUUGGGCCUCUCAAAAACACUCGGGGAGGCUCCAUCCAUCACGGACACCAAAAAAGACAGAGCUUCCAAUUAAUUCACCAAAGCAAAAACUUUUUACCUGUGAACACGAUCUACAGCCCUACGAGCAGGGAAACUACAAGAUGAUGAAGAUGACAAUAUGCACCACAUUUAACCCCUCCAAGCCAUUCUACACCGUCACUGAGACGCACACCUACUCGUGCAAGUACAAGCGCCAGCGCCAGCGCCAGUGCCCAGAUCAGUGCCCGUGCCCCUUUCCGUAUCCAUGCCCGUGCCCAAAUCCAUGCCCAUGUCUGUGCCUGUGCCCAAACCCGUGCCCAAGCCCAUGCCCAAGUCCUUGCACAAGCCCGUGCCCUAGCCCGUGCCUAAGCCCGUGCCCAAGCCCGUGCUUAAGUCCAAGCCCAUGUGCCACCCCGAGUCUAUGCACGAGCCCGAGUCCCUGCACGAGCCCGAGCCCCUGCACCAGCCCGAGUCCGUGCCCGAGUCUGUGCCCGAGUCUGUGCACGAGCCCGAGUCCCUGCCUGAGCCCGAGCCCCUGCCUGAGCCCGAGCCCCUGCCUGAGCCCGAGCCUCUGCCUGAGCCCGAGUCUAUGCACGAGCCCAAGCCCAUGCCUGAGCCCGAGCCCGCGGCCAAGGCCACGCCGACAAAUCUGCGUCAAGACCUACGAAUGCGACAGCCGAAGCAGCAGGGCAAGCGAAGGCAAUAGCAGCAAACAGUCCUACUCCAAGUGCUCGUGCACCUGCUUGUACAACUCGGCCCGCUCGGCCCGCUCGCCCAGCAAGUCCCGGCACAAAACCAAGGAGACCUUCGUGGUCUCACGCCCACGCUCCCACUGACCGUGAGAGCUGCCUCUCCUUGGCACAACUGUGCACCCAGGAAAGGGCUCGGCGGAAGGUCUUGGGAUCUGGCUAGAUAGGAAGAAUUUCUAAGUCUUUGUAAAACAGCUGGCCCGGGAUGAGUUACAGUUGGUUCUUCUGGCAGACAAAGGUCUAUUCUUGCCCCAUCCCUUCACGGGAUUCCUGGAUGUUUGAGGAGCCUGUAGGACAAAAUGUCCAUCAAAUACUGGAAGCUUUCCCUGGGGCCUGAAGAGGUGGUGAUGAAAAUGAGGCCGGUCCCUGAAAAUGACAACAUAUGACCUAAGCACAAGAGAUUCAAACUCUGAGGAUGGAUAAUGGAAGAAGAGAGACAGAAAAAGCUACAACAAACCAACUAGAAACUGUUCUCAAAACAAAGGCCUUGGAAAAUGUCAGAAAUGCCUCUGUAAUUGGGGAGAGGGCAAAGGGAAAUGUUGCUCAAUAUUGGAUUUCUAAAGGAAAUAGGUUAAGAACAGAAUAUCCUGAUCCAUCAUACUGUUGUGUGUAAACUUCACAGUUUACAAGGUGUUUCAGUGUUUACAAAUCAUUUUGCCAUUUACAAGGCACUAGGCCAUUUUAUAAGGCACUUCACAGUUUACAAGGUGCUAUACUAUGUAGAAGACACUUCACUGUUUACAAGUUGCUUUCAGAGCUUACAAAAUGUUUUAUAUUCAUUAUUCAACAACAAUUUUUUCAAGCACUUAUGCAUAAAACACUGCCCAAGGUGCUAAGAGAGAUACGAAGAUAAUUCAGAUGUGUUUUGUUUUCUAAGGCUUGCCCAUCACAUUAUUUCAUCUGAUCUUGAGUGAAAAUAUAACAGGGGUGAAGAUCAUCAUCCACAUUCUACAGAUAAGGAAACAUAAGCCUGGUGGCAGAGCUGGCUUUUGAGUACAUGAGUUCUAAUCCUGCUUCUGUCAUUUUCUCCCCAUGUGCCAUGAGUAAGCUAGAGGCAGCUAGGUGGCCCAGUGCAUAGAGAGCACUAGCCCUAGAGUCAGGAAGAUCUGAGUUCAAAUCCAGCUUCAGACACUUACCAAGUCAGAAGGCCCAUUUAACCCCUGCUUACCUCCAUUUCCUCAUCUGUAAAGUGGAGAUACCACCACCUCUCAGGGUGUCUGUUAGCAUCAAAUGAGAUAAUUAUAUUUACAAAGGGCUUUGCAAACCUUAGUGUGAUAGAAAUGCCAGGGAGCUCUUGGUCUCCUCUUCAGUAAAAUAAAAAGGUUGGGCUUCAUACCUCCUUCAGUCCCUCCCACCCUUCGUUCUAGGAAGCUAGGAUCCUGCCAGCUCAACAUUCUUUUUGUCAUCCCCCACUCACUGCCUCCAUAAAUGGGCACUCAGUGCUGGUACCAAGAAUAAAAAGCAGGAUCAGCUUCUCCAUACCCUGGCCUGGAACCAUACAGGAAUGUGUAGAGUCAUUCCUGGCAUUGCCGCCACUCUGGUGGCAUGUUGGGCACAAGGGAUGGCAAAUGUACAAUGCCUAGGUUUCCCUAUAUCUGUCCAGAAGCAUCCAAGGUUACAAGAGGCUGAAGAGGUUUGCCUUCUCCCAAGAAGGUCGACUCAAAUCUAUGGUGCUUUACUGAGCGCUUAUUGUGGACACACACUUGGCAUUCUCCAUCCAUAGACCUUGGUUUUCUCAGUUGUAAAAAGAGUUGGAUUAGGUUAUCUAGAAGGUCCCUUUAUUUUGUAAAGAGAGACUUGUAGCGUACUGGAAAGAACAGGGAGUCAGAAGGCCCACUUUAGUUGUGUCUCUUGAUUUUUCUAUUUACCGUCAUCACCACUGUUGUCAUCUUAACUCUACCAAAUCACCCUCGUCAGAAUCACCGCCAUAAGCUCUUCCUCUCUGCUCUAAUCACCGACAUCAUCACCAGAAUCCCCACCAGCAUUCUCUUCCCUUCUGCUUUCAUCACCAGCAUUAUUACUAGAUCACCAUCAUCUUUCUUCCACUCACAAUCACCAAUGUUAUCACUAAAAUCACCACCGCUUUCCUUCCACGGUCACCAACGUUAUCACUAGAAUCGUUAUCUUCUUCCUCCCUACCAGAAUUACCAUCAUCCUCACUGUCACCCUCCCUUUCAUCAUCACCAGAUUCACUAUCAUUGUAAUCACAAUGAUCACCUCCAGUAGCAGCACCACCAUCACGGUUGUCCUAAGAAUCGUCCUCUUCACAGUGGAUGUUUAUAUAAUGCUUCAAGGAUUUGCAGAGUGCUUUGCAUCCCAUCAUAAUCGUCUCACCAACACCACUGUCACUGUUAAUAUCACCCUUAUCAUCUUAAUUAUGAACACCACUGUCACCAUUAUCAUCCCUACAAUUACCAUGACAUCGUUAUCAUGUUACAUUCUCUCACCUCCACACCUUUGCUUACACCAUUUCAUUUGCCCUGAAUGUCUUCCCUCCCUCUCUGACUAUUGAAUUCGUAUCCAACCUUUAAAGCCCAACUCAGAUGCCACCUCUUCCAGGAAACCCUCCCCAUCCUUCAGCUCCAAAUGAUCUCUGCUUACUCUGACCCCAUCCCAAGGCAUCUUCUUUGUCCCUCUCUUACACAUUUACCUCAUAAUAUUCUGUAUUAUAGCUGUCUGUGUAUUGUAAUUGUCUCUUAGUUUCUUCUCCUACUCUACAAGGACAGAGAACAGUCUGAUCUAAAUUUUGUGUCUCCCUCACAGAUUCACACAUUUAAUAAAAGCUUAUUGACUGGAUGGCUCAUUGGUUAGGGGAGGAGGAGGGCACAUACUAGGAAAUGAAGGUGAUAUAAAAACAAAAGGCCUCUAUAAAAAUGUCAAUACAUCACAUUGGUCACUGUAAGCAACAACCCAUUUGUCUCCUCAUUGGGAUUGUUUCUCUUUGUGCUCUCAGAAUUUCUUUCUAGACAUCCCAUUCCCUCCAAAGCUAAUGUCCCAUGUCCACAAAAUCCUACCUCUCAUCCCUGAACUCUUUAUACUGGGCUUUCUGAAAAUCUCAGAUAUUUGUCAGACCAACAGAGGCUCUCUCAUCCUCAAUCAUAAAUUCUUUUUUUGGUAAAUAUUAUUUUAUUUUUUCCAAUUACAUGUAAAGACAGUUUUCCACAUUUAUUUCUUAUAAGAUUUUGAGCUUCAAGUUUUUUCUCCCUCCCAUCUCUCCUCCCCAAGCUGGCAAGCAGUCUGACAUAGGUCAUACAUGUGCAAUCAUGUAAAACACAUUUCCACAUCAGUCAUGUUGUCAAUCACAAAUUCUUAAAGGAAGUGAAUGGUCACUUCCUCCCAAGUUCCCACUUGGCUUUAUACACCUCUGGUGCUGCUACGUAAUGUUGUAUAUGUAUUUGAUGCAUAUGUCCUUUAAUAUGUAUGUGUAAUUUAUGUAAUAUUACACGUGAUACUUAUGUGUGCUCAAGUCUCACCCUCCUCCUAGACUCUGAGCUCCAUGAGGGCAGAGUUGAUAUCUAAAAGCCGUCUCUCUCAUAGCUCCCAGCAUAGGGCCCUGCACACAGAAAGCCCUUAAAAACAUCUCUGUUGAACUUAAUUGAAUGAAAUGGAAUCAAUUAACUCUGAGGGAGCAGCUUCAGGGCCCCCUCUCCUCUGGGUGGCCUGCCAGGCUGCGACAGGAUGCCUUUCUUCUGGGGAGAGUAUUUUUCCCAAAAUGGAAAAUGACUUGAUUCAGAUCGGGCUGUGCUUCUCAGCUUCUCCUCACUCUGUUUGGGGGCGUUUAUGGUCAAAGCAGAUGCCAAACACAUCCUUCAAAGGAGAAAGAGCUUGGGCCUGUGGCCCAGCUCCAUGCAGAAGCUUCGGCAGAAAGACCACAUUGGAAUAUCAAACUUGGACAUUUUUUUCCUCUUUUGACAAACAACCUAUUUGUUUAAAAAGCCAUUUUUGAAAACCACAUUUUUGGGCUAAAGGUCUGUGAGGCAGCUUUGUUCAGCAGCCUUGGCCUUUCCCUCUCUCUGGUUAUUAGAGAAGCUACGCCUGCAGCCACUCGUGAUGAGGUCCAAGGAAAACCAGGUUGUGGCCUACAAGAGACAGGAUCCCCUGGGCCUUUCCAGCACCCUUGUGGCUGGUGAAAUGUUUGUGCAUGGGGGCAUACUUUGGGGUGUCUGUACUUGUGUUUUUAUGUGUCUGCCUGUACAUGCGUAUGUUUUAGUAUGCAGAUGGAACAUGGAGUAGGGAAAAGAGGGCUGGACUGGGUAUCACCAGCCCUUAGUUCAAAUCCUGAGCUCUGCAAGCCCCUCAGGCUCUCUGGGCCUCAGUUUCUCCAUCUGUAAAACAAGGGGUUUGGACUAAAUGGCCUCUGAGAUCCCUUCCAGCUCCAGAACUAUGAUUCUUCAUGUUUGUGUAUAAAUAAAUAAUAAAGAAAGAGGCCUUCUCUGCACAUUAGGAUCUGGCCCUUCUAUCCCCACUUGCUUUGUCAUGGACGUUUAAGCUUUUCUCUACUUGAGAUUUAUUUCCUGCAAAUAUUCUAGUAAUAAAAUGACUUGCCUACUAAUAAAAGUGUAUGCACACAU